CCUACGGGUGGCAGCAGUGGGGAAUAUUGCACAAUGGGGGAAACCCUGAUGCAGCAACGCCGCGUGAAGGAAGACGGUUUUCGGAUUGUAAACUUCUGUUCUUAGUGAAGAAUAAUGACGGUAGCUAAGGAGCAAGCCACGGCUAACUACGUGCCAGCAGCCGCGGUACUACGGGGGAUGCAAGCGUUAUCCGGAUUUAUUGGGUUUAAAGGGUGCGUAGGCUGUGAGGUAAGUCAGCGGUGAAAUGCCCCCGCUCAACGGGGUGAAGUGCCAUUGAUACUGCCUUGCUGGAAUGCGGAUGCCGUGGGAGGAAUGUGUGGUGUAGCGGUGAAAUGCAUAGAUAUCACACAGAACACCGAUUGCGAAGGCAUCUCACGAAUCCGCGAUUGACGCUGAUGCACGAAAGCGUGGGUAUCAAACAGGAUUAGAUACCCCAGUAGUC
RNAcentral lists this ribosomal RNA (442 nucleotides) under uncultured bacterium. RNAcentral describes it as "partial 16S ribosomal RNA". It matches the Rfam family "Bacterial small subunit ribosomal RNA", at positions 338 to 795 of the family's 1533-position model. The record is from RNAcentral.